UAGGGAAUCUUGGACAAUGGGCGAAAGCCUGAUCCAGCCAUGCCGCGUGAGUGAUGAAGGCCUUAGGGUUGUAAAGCUCUUUCGCCAGGGAAGAUAAUGACGGUACCUGGAUAAGAAGCCCCGGCUAACUUCGUGCCAGCAGCCGCGGUAAUACGAAGGGGGCUAGCGUUGUUCGGAAUUACUGGGCGUAAAGCGCACGUAGGCGGCUUUCCAAGUUGGAGGUGAAAUCCCCGGGCUUAACCCGGGAACUGCCUCCAAAACUGAAAGGCUAGAGUCCGAGAGAGGUGAGUGGAAUUUCCAGUGUAGAGGUGAAAUUCGUAGAUAUUGGAAAGAACACCAGUGGCGAAGGCGGCUCACUGGCUCGGCACUGACGCUGAGGCGCGAAAGCGUGGGGAGCAAACA
This 402-nucleotide ribosomal RNA is filed under the name uncultured bacterium. RNAcentral describes it as "bacterial SSU rRNA". It matches the Rfam family "Bacterial small subunit ribosomal RNA", at positions 355 to 774 of the family's 1533-position model. The record is from RNAcentral.